Molecule: ribosomal RNA, 465 nt
Filed under: uncultured bacterium
Lineage: Bacteria
Description: partial 16S ribosomal RNA
Rfam family: Bacterial small subunit ribosomal RNA
Source: RNAcentral
CCUACGGGUGGCAGCAGUGGGGAAUAUUGCGCAAUGGGCGAAAGCCUGACGCAGCGACGCCGCGUGAGGGAUGAAGGUCUUCGGAUCGUAAACCUCUGUCAGCAGGGAAGAACGGUCACUGUGCUAAUCAGCAGUGAAUUGACGGUCCCUGCAAAGGAAGCACCGGCUAACUCCGUGCCAGCAGCCGCGGUAAUACGGAGGGUGCGAGCGUUAAUCGGAAUUACUGGGCGUAAGGCGCUCGUAGGCGGUAUGGCAAGUCAAGGGUGAAAGCCCCGCGCUCAACGUGGGAACUGCAUUUGAAACUGGCAAACUUGAGUGUGUGAGAGGAUAGUGGAAUUCCAGGUGGAGGAGUGAAAUCCGUAGAUAUCUGGAGGAACAUCAGUGGCGAAGGCGACUAUCUGGCACAUAACUGACGCUGAGGAGCGAAAGCGUGGGUAGCAAACAGGAUUAGAUACCCGUGUAGUC